GACCUACAUGCAGAGUGCGCCGGCCACGUUAAGGUUAAAACAUGCACAAUGUAUUAAGUCUAAAACAGGAAAAAAAAACCCCAAAACAU
This is a long non-coding RNA of Solea senegalensis (Senegalese sole), 89 nucleotides long. RefSeq lists it as uncharacterized. The transcript is spliced from 2 exons. Lineage: Eukaryota; Metazoa; Chordata; Actinopteri; Pleuronectiformes; Soleidae. The record is from RefSeq and is a predicted model, not a curated record.